AAGCACUCAGGCAAUUAAUUUCACAGGAACUUCAAUUAGGGCUUAUAGAACCCUCUCUUAGUCAAUGGAACACCCCGAUUUUUGUUAUACAGAAGCGCUCCGGUGCCUUCUGCCUGUUGCACGACUUGGGCGCGGUCAGUGCCCAACUUGUGUCUUUUGGGGCAGUGCAGCAGGGUGGACCAGUUUUGUCAGCCAUACCCAAGGAAUGGCCGCUGGUGGUCAUAGAUCUUAAAGAUGGCUUUUUCUCCAUUCCUCUUGCGGAAGAAGAUUGGGAGGCGUUUGCCUUUAU
Gallus gallus (chicken) is the source of this 289-nucleotide non-coding RNA. The record is from Rfam. NCBI's taxonomy places the organism in Eukaryota, Metazoa, Chordata, Aves, Galliformes, Phasianidae.